Molecule: long non-coding RNA, 354 nt
Filed under: Ricinus communis (castor bean)
Lineage: Eukaryota; Viridiplantae; Streptophyta; Magnoliopsida; Malpighiales; Euphorbiaceae
Description: long non-coding RNA (RCOM_LNC003068)
Source: RNAcentral
AUUGCGGCACUUCCACCUCUCCCGGUCGGACAAGUAAGGCCGUGAAGUAAGCAGAUAAAAAUGAACCACAUACAUGUUCCUGCUACAAGGGAAUCGUGUAGUUAGAAUUACUGGUAUUAAGUAUACCUUUAAAUAAUUGAAUGUUCUAAUAGUAGAACUUCAUUCUGUAAUAAAGUUGGCCGGUUCUGAUGCUAACAUGUAAUAAUCCUAAGGUUUGUUCUAUGUUAUUAUGUUACAUAUGUUUGGAGUUCCUUCUAUCUUGAGUAAUGUGGGUGUUGCUUAAAUGCUGCAAACGUAUCAUCUUUUGACCAAUCCCACCUCGUAUAUACCUCAAAACACUUAUUCCAAAUUGAC